Molecule: transfer RNA, 72 nt
Organism: Ovis aries (sheep)
Lineage: Eukaryota; Metazoa; Chordata; Mammalia; Artiodactyla; Bovidae
Rfam family: tRNA
About the family: Transfer RNA (tRNA) molecules are approximately 80 nucleotides in length.
Source: Rfam
UCCCUGAUGGCUCAGACGGUAAAGAAUCUGCCUGCAAUGCAGAAGACCCAGGUUCUAGCCCUGGGUCGGGAA